GGUGAACGCUGGCGGCGUGCCUAAUACAUGCAAGUCGAGCGAACGGACGAGAAGCGUGCUUCUCUGAUGUUAGCGGCGGACGGGUGGGUAACAAGUGGAUAACCUACCUAUAAGACGGGGAUAACUUCGGGAAACCGGAGCUAAUACCGGAUGAUAUUUUGAACCGCAUGGUUCAAAAGUGAAAGACGGUCUUGCUGACACUUAUAGAUGGAUCCGCGCUGCAUUAGCUAGUUGGUAAGGUAACGGCUUACCAAGGCGACGAUGCAUAGCUGACCUGAGAGGGUGAUCGGCCACACUGGAACUGAGACACGGUCCAGACUCCUACGGGAGGCAGCAGUGGGGAAUAUUGCACAAAGGGCGAAAGCCUGAUCGAGCAACGCCGCGUGGGUGAAGAAGGUCUUCGGAUUGUAAAACUCUGUUAUUAGGGAAGAAAAUAUGUGUAAUAAUCUGUGGAUAUCUUGACGGUACCUAAACAGAAAGCACCGGCUAACUACGUG
RNAcentral lists this ribosomal RNA (497 nucleotides) under uncultured bacterium. RNAcentral's name for it is "partial 16S ribosomal RNA". It matches the Rfam family "Bacterial small subunit ribosomal RNA", at positions 28 to 507 of the family's 1533-position model. The record is from RNAcentral.